UACGGAGGGGGCUAGCGUUGUUCGGAAUUACUGGGCGUAAAGCGCACGUAGGCGGCUUUGCAAGUUAGAGGUGAAAGCCCGGGGCUCAACUCCGGAAUUGCCUUUAAAACUGCAUCGCUAGAAUUGUGGAGAGGUAAGUGGAAUUCCGAGUGUAGAGGUGAAAUUCGUAGAUAUUCGGAAGAACACCAGUGGCGAAGGCGACUUACUGGGACGGUAUUGACGCUGAGGUGCGAAAGCGUGGGGAGCAAACAGG
This 253-nucleotide ribosomal RNA is filed under the name uncultured bacterium. RNAcentral describes it as "partial 16S ribosomal RNA". It matches the Rfam family "Bacterial small subunit ribosomal RNA", at positions 524 to 776 of the family's 1533-position model. The record is from RNAcentral.